This is a Y RNA of Callithrix jacchus (white-tufted-ear marmoset), 102 nucleotides long. It matches the Rfam family "Y RNA". From Rfam's summary of the family: Y RNAs are components of the Ro ribonucleoprotein particle (Ro RNP), in association with Ro60 and La proteins. The Y RNAs and Ro60 and La proteins are well conserved, but the function of the Ro RNP is not known. The record is from Ensembl. Lineage: Eukaryota; Metazoa; Chordata; Mammalia; Primates; Cebidae.
GGCUGGUCUGAGUGCAAUGGUGCUUACAACUAAUUGAUCACAACCGGUUACAGAUUUCUUUGUUCCUUCUCCAUUCCAACUGCUUCACUUGACUAGCCUUAA